RNAcentral lists this long non-coding RNA (316 nucleotides) under Vitis vinifera (wine grape). Its description in RNAcentral is "long non-coding RNA (VVIN_LNC002086)". The record is from RNAcentral. Lineage: Eukaryota; Viridiplantae; Streptophyta; Magnoliopsida; Vitales; Vitaceae.
UUUAACCAAUGAUUGGGAUGGUCCGGUUGAGUUGUUCCUCUCCUCAAUCGGUGGAGUAGAUCGGGAUUCGUGCCUUGAAAAUGAAAGCAAGACCAGGAUCAAGCACACACUAAAUUUCAAGCUAGCCAUUUAGCCUGUGGUGUUUUGAAAAAUUAGUUGCUUGUGAAGUUUGAAGCUUCGGGUUUUGAUUUAUAUAGGUUAAAUAGUGCUUCGAUCUCCAUUCUUAAUGAAAGUGGGCGGACCUGAAUUUGCACAAUCUAGUGUUUGUCUAGUUAUGUUGUCUGUUUGUUCUUGUCAUGCUCUUAAUGACUGGUCU